CCAAUAUAUUUUUUACUUGCAUUACAAAAUAACGGCCUCUCACUUCUGUCGGCGCGGGUUCGAAACCCGCUCGCGCCGGUUGGUGAGAAAGUUUCCCAGUUUACUUUCGGAAGGUCGGUGGUCUCUUCCCAGGUACAUUGUAUCUGGUUUCUCUCUUCCACCAACAAAAACUGGGUGCCACCAGAUAACUGAAAAAUUGUUGAGUGUGGCGGAAAACAUUAGGAAAAAAAAUGGAUAUUGUUAUCAAAAGUGGGGGACAGACACUCUUGUCCCCUCCCCUUGAUUCUAAGUACUUUGUACUUGACCUUUGUAUUUGGGAGAGGGCCUACAUAGGCUAUGCCUGUUGCCCAAUCCUGUUGAGCUUCUCAAUAAAAUAUGUUUAAAUAAGAAAAACAAUUCUAUGUGCUUGAUAACUACGCAUAUAAUAAACUCUCAAUUAUUACAUUUUGCAUUACUACAAUUUGCGUCGAGUUCAACGCAGAAUGUAAUAAAGCAAAAUGGCAUAGAUAUAUAAGAUCUAUUGAGCGCCGAAUAAGCAUAAAAUGAAGUAAUUGAAAAUAACAUUAUUUAAAGAUAUGUUUAAUUUUUAAUUAUUGCGUGCUUUAAAUGAAUCAAAUAAAUCUGUAUUAUCAAUUAAUGAGAGCAAUAUUGAGUUACUGUUCUCUUAUAUUGAAUUAACGAUAUCAUUUGUCUUAAUAAGAGCGCGAUUAUUACAAGAUCAUCGUUUGAAUCUCUCUCUCUCUCUCUCUCUCUCUCUCUCUCUCUCUCUCUCUCUCUCUCUCUCCAUACACUCAUGCAGUGUUGUAUAUGCAAAUUAUCUUUGCACAAAGGAUUUAUGUGCCUAAAUGAUAUCCUGAUUUAUAAAUCUGCAAUACUCUGACAAGUAAAUCAUACAGUAUAAGGAUUCAUGCACAAUACAGGGUAACUAUUCUACUCUGAUACUUCCCCUGAUUGAAGAUAGCUGAUCGGCACGGGCUAAGUGUGUCGCAGUCUGUACAAUGGACAAUGUUGUUUACUGUUGGAAUACAAAUGGAGUGUAUCGUUUUGUUUCAUGGAUUAUGCUAAUAAAGGGAGUUUUACUACUACUUUUGAGUAUUUUCGACAAGUGUACACGUACAUUUGUACAUCCUCGGUCCUUUACAGAUAUUACGAGUAGACCCAGAAUGCAUUCUAUGCAGUCUUCCCCUUUAGAUGGCACAGCAAAGACACGUCGCAUUUCUACCUCAGAAAAUGGAGUUCAAACGGAAUUAUUGAUGGCGGAUCCUCGUUCGUGGCGUUUCGUUUUAUUUCCACUUGAAGUACAAAACAUUAUUCGCAACUGGGAAUUGAAGAGACGAGAAUUGUGACAUGUAGGAGAACGCCAUAUCCAAAAUAUAAGUAUGAUGAACUUUUCAUAAUGAAAUUUUUGAAAAUUCAACUUUUGAUGAGGUUUUUUUUUUUUGUUUGUUAACAAAUAACGACGAGAAUCAAAUUUUGUGAAGUGUCCAGUGCAUGCUACGCAGAUUAAGUAUAAACUCAGAUUAUUAAACAUGCUUUUGUCGUUAUUAUAUGUGAUGUUUUGUUUUGUAGCAUUCGAAAAGACAAAGCUUUAUCUACAUCCAGAAACUCUAAUCAUAUGAAUGAUAAUCUUAUAUUCACAUUUUAACUAUAUUCCCUUAUGUAAAGUUAUCACAAUAAUGAUGUCGUAAUCCUCAAUGUAUAGCAUCUCCUGUUACUAUAAUAUAGAACUAUCUUUAGUAUCUAUCGUGACACCUAGAGAGGAUAUGUAUUAAUAGAAUAUUUCUCUUGAAAAGAAAUGCCCUUCUAAUAACAUUGUGAAGAGAUGCAUUAGCAUUGUUAAAAGAGAUGCAUGCAUAGUCUUUCAAUGUUAUUAUAGGAUUAAACAUAUUAAUCACAAACUGAAUAAAAGUGCGAAGCACUUUUAUGUGAAGUUUGUGAGUAAAAUGUCCGGAGUUUACACAUCGAUAAAUUCUUCAAAAAGAAUGUUUGAUUCUUAUAAUUUCAAUUCACUCACAGUAUUAGCAAAUUCAAAAAAAAAAAAAAAAAGAAGAUUAAUUUCCCCGUACUACGUUAUUUGUUUUCAGGCGCAUAUGGAUACAUCGCGUUUUCGGAUUUAUUGAUGUGUAAACUCUCGUUCAGUUUUAUUUUUGUCCAAUCAAAACAACUGUAAUAAAUAACUGCAGUAUAGUUUUCAAAGUUAUAUAUAUAUAUAUAUAUAUAUAUAUAUAUAUAUAUAUACUGUAUAUAUUUCUUGAGAGAGAGAGUUUACGUGAGCUUAAUUUCUCAUUUUUUCUUGUGAUUUCUAUACGUUUAUUUACUAAUUUGGUGACAGUUUAUGUAUUUGAGUUUGAUUGUUGAUAUUUUCACCCAAAAGGUGUAUUGAUAUUUUUAUCGGGGUUAGGCAAUGUACCGCAAUGAAGUGCACUAAAAAUGAUUUCUUAUUGCAUCUAUAUUUAGCUGCAAAAUGUAUUUUGCUUGACAGAUGUUGGGUUAAAUGUGUUUAAGAGGCCUUUGUUUGGUCAGUGUAAUUGAAAUUGUGCAUGUAUGUUAAAUCUACUCAUGUACAUACUGUAGGUAUAACGAGUAAGCGGGCGGAUCUAGCAUUAGUAUAUAUAUUAGCCUAUCGUUUGGUAUCCCUUUAAAAAGAUAAAACAAAAGUUGUCGAUGUAGACUUUCAAAAUCGAAAAAAAAUAAUCAAUAUAUCAAAAAGUAAGACAUUGAAAUGAUCUUUACUCGCCCUGCGAAUCUGUGUUAGGCUAUCUAAGAUUUAUGGAAGUAGUUUACAUGUAUUUUAUUUGAUGAACGGGCAUACGGCGUUUAUGAAACGAAAAUGGAUACGUUUACCAGUAACAUCGAGUAUAGAAACAUAGGGUGAUAUUCUUCGGGUUAAUGUAGUAACUUACCCUGGAUUAGGAUAGUUGUUAAUCCAUUCUACAAGGAUAUAAUCCACAACCUCGCUUUCCCUUACUGGUUUUAAGUUGUUUUAAAACUACACCUCCUUAGCAAAAUCUGUAAUGGUAUAUAUUCCAUUAUUUUUUGUGAAUAAUUAGGAACAUGCUGCAUUAUGCUAAUUUAGAACUCGUAGAACUACCAAAAGAGGUUAAGAUAACGUUUCUCUAGAAACUACACGUGGGAUUUUCGUAAUGUCAGCCGCCAGUGAUUUAAUUAUACUUUAAACAACAUCAGUAUGUCAUGUUAGAAUUUUCUAUAUUACUUGCUUGUGUUUCAAGAACCUUUAGAAUGUGAAAUAAUUGAAAGUACAUUUGUGAUUUUAGAUUUCUUAUCUGAAAACUCUUUUACGUUAAGUUUUUCAGAGUAGAAUAUAGGUUUGAUUUGCUUUGUGUGCAGGUGCACCAAAGUCUUUUCUAGAAGAUUUGGUGAUAUAUUCGUCUAUUUGAUUAUAUAUGAGUGUUUUUAGGUCUAGGGUAGACCAUGAUAUGACUGUGAAAUUGAUUUUAAAGCCGGAAACUGGAGAACGCUCACUCGAGGAAUUGUUGAGUACCACACGGAAAAGGUCGAACUACAUAUAAAUCCACCACGAAGACAAGUGUAAAUCCAGGACGAAGCCACGUGUAAACCGAGGACGAAAACACGUGUACAUACAUGAUGACACAAUGCGUAUAUAAAAAGACAAAUUGGUAUAAAACUGUCUGGUGUAUAUUUAUAAUUGUUGUUUAAUACAUGUAUUGUGAUUGAAUACUUCGUCACUCUGUAAUUAUUGUCAUGUGAUUGUAUAUUUAUGGAGUUUACAUUACGAUGCCGUGGUUUUAACAUUUUUCGUUGGAUACGUUGUAAUAUCGAGUUUAGAAUAAACUAGAAAAUGAAUUGAUCAAUUUUCCACCAGAAUUAUUUGGUUUUAAAUCGGUCUUUACAAACAACAGUCACUCGGUCAUUUUUAUCACGUAUUCAAAAGAGAAAUCAAGUGACAGUCACGUGUCCAAUUCAGACUGAUACUAUCUGUGUAAAGCUGUAUGUUGUUACUGUAGUACCAUACUAUAAAUGUUUCACGUUUUUUGUUUAAGUUUUAUUUUGUUUAAGAGAAAUAAAGAUAUGAAAUACA
Molecule: long non-coding RNA, 4060 nt
Organism: Ostrea edulis (European flat oyster)
Lineage: Eukaryota; Metazoa; Mollusca; Bivalvia; Ostreida; Ostreidae
Exons: 4
Source: RefSeq, a predicted model, not a curated record